CUAGACCUAGCGGCUGUAGAAGUUCCAUCCACAAAUGGAUAAUACUUCUAUAUUGGAUUAGUGUAUACGAUUUAGUGAAAAUAAAGGAGCAAUACUAAAAUUGUUUUAUCAAUAAUUUUAGUAUUGCUCCUUUAUUUUUAUUUGAAGAAGGAUAAAAAAACUAAACAUGAAUGUUGUAAAUUGAAGUAUUGUUUAUUUUUAUCUUUUUAGAUUCUAUAUCUAAAUACUCUAUACUCUCUUAAUAUUAAUAUUAAUAUAGUAGUCUAGGGGCGGAUGUAGCCAAGUGGAUCAAGGCAGU
This 298-nucleotide unclassified non-coding RNA is filed under the name Australina pusilla. RNAcentral's name for it is "partial miscellaneous RNA". The record is from RNAcentral. Lineage: Eukaryota; Viridiplantae; Streptophyta; Magnoliopsida; Rosales; Urticaceae.